GUAAAAUGGAAAAGAAGACAAGGAAGAGAAGAAGAGUAGGGCCUUUGCAGGACAUACCAUAAGCCCUGUUCAGAGAUGGAAAACUGGAUGUUUGGAACUUAACAAGAACCCCAUGCCUAAAGAACAGAGUCAAAACCUCCAGCCAGGCUGUUGAAGCACUGCAGGACAUUUUCUCUCUGAGUGUGUAUAAUGGAAAAGGACGGUUUGCUUCAAAGGAAGACUUCCUCUGAGCAUGAUGGAGAGGACCAUGCUUGGUUCUGGAGAGCAACUUGAUCUUUUCAAAUGGAAGACAGAAGCUUAGAGCAAAAAAAAAAAAAAAAAAGGGAGAUGGGGGUGGGGAGAGACACAAAUGGUGUUGAUCCAUUAAAGGGACAGUGGGGCUACCGAGGGUCUGAGCCCUCCAUGGGUCAAGAUGCAUCACUGGAGUGCCCUGACUACACAGGACUAGACUCUAGGCUGUGGGACCCUUGAAGCAGGAAGAAUGCAGGACACUGGGUAGCCAGCUGGAAGGAUCAGGACUCAUUUUUUUCCACGUAGCUUUUAUUUUAAUAGUCUACAAUGGUGGCCUUAGGGGAGGCCAACAUAAUCACGAUGAAUGUGGAGCUAAACUCCAACCCCCUCUAAAUUCAUAGCCAGCAAUACAUAAUCAAGAUCAAAAACAAGCAAUUUGACUUUUUCUUUCUCAAGCAGGAGGGGCAAAAUGAGGUAAUACCUAGGCUCCUCCCUGCCUAUCCCUUCAGUGGGAUGUCCUAAGUGGCUGUGAAUACCCAUCCCAGUGCUGUCUCUGCUGAUGGAAUUAGGAGGAGGCUCUCCCCUACUCUUAUCAGGUAUGUGUGACCCCGCCCCCACCAGCCCACAGUUAGAAUCAAUCAUGUGUCAUUUUUCUGGCCAGAGCAGGCCUCUUGGAUGUUAGGUGUUAAAGCACCUGUGGCUGGUCCUCUGCCCAUCGUUAUUCCAUCAGCCACAUCAUGGCCACCUUCACAGCCUCCCUUGCUCAUCCCUAAUGCACGUGAUAUCUCACUCCUCUUCAGAGCCUACACCUCCACUUUACUUAUGCUGGAGAUUAGCCAUGUGGGAUAAUGUUAACUUACUAAAUUCAAUUCAGUGGAUGAAACAAACCACCCCCACCCCCUGCAUGACACAGAGGAGAAACUUAUUGUUCCGUCUGAAGAGCACCACCCCACUGCAGCUUAGCCAGGCCAGAUUGGCCUCUUGGUCCUUGUCCAUGCGACAAUGGAAAACAAAGCAAACAAAAGAAGAAUGUUAUAAACAUCCACUGUUUGUUCUAUGUCAAAGCUGCAUCUUUAACAAAGCUCGAUGAACCUGCUGUAACACAGCAGGUAGAUUCUAAUAGGUGAGCAAUGGGCCUGACCCUCCCAUCUAAGUCCCCGCAAUGCUUGCCCCACACAGAUCUAAGACAACCCAAACCACUGAAGUGCUUUGGCCAUUGAAAUGUGGCAUCCAAAACAGUGGUGAAAGCCAUACUUCUACAGCUGGGUGGACUGGAGCAAACAUCCGUUAUUAUUUUUUUAGAAGUGUUCUAGAAUAAGUAUAUUGCACAAUUAAACACCCUUUAAUAUAUUAAAAAUAAAUCCCAUAACAUCA
This is a long non-coding RNA of Mus musculus (house mouse), 1605 nucleotides long. RefSeq annotates it as predicted gene, 52130. The transcript has 2 exons. NCBI's taxonomy places the organism in Eukaryota, Metazoa, Chordata, Mammalia, Rodentia, Muridae. The record is from RefSeq and is a predicted model, not a curated record.